RNAcentral lists this non-coding RNA (78 nucleotides) under Enterobacter sp. AG326. Lineage: Bacteria; Pseudomonadati; Pseudomonadota; Gammaproteobacteria; Enterobacterales; Enterobacteriaceae. The record is from RNAcentral.
UUGAGCCGUGUGAGCUGGAAACUCUCACGCACGGUUCUUAGAGGGGGCGUCGAAGGUAACUUCGGCGCCCUACUCGAC